Non-coding RNA from Oreochromis niloticus (Nile tilapia), 860 nucleotides. The record is from the annotation of a RefSeq genome assembly. NCBI's taxonomy places the organism in Eukaryota, Metazoa, Chordata, Actinopteri, Cichliformes, Cichlidae.
GAUAUCGGGGCUGCCACAUGAAGGGGCAAAGUGAACAAUUUUAUGAAUACCCCCCAAAAAACUUUAAUUAGUGUAAAUUAUCCUCUAAUAUUAACAAUAUCCUGGAACACCAACAGAGAUCGUUGUAUUUCACUGGGAACACAAAACAGAGAAAAUUCCAGACUGUCUGUUAAAGUUGUUGAUGAUCAAAGAUGAAUGGAUCUUCAGAUCUGCUCUGCUGCAGUGACAGACUCUGCUGUGAGGCCCACAGUGACAGGAAACCCACAGAGACGCUCCACUAGAGGGCGACAUCAUCCAGUAGGCGGUGCUCUCCUUCUGCACUGUGUUCAACCAUUGUGUCAAUAAUAAGUGCUGCUGUGAAGAGAACAAUUCUCAGACUGAAUGUUGAACAUCAGCUAGUUUCUCCUGUUGAUUGAAACCUUGUUGUACAGAUGGAACAUUGGCUGUGGAUUAUUCUUGCUGCUCUUUUCUUUGAGUGUAAAGGAGAAGACAAAGUGAUCCAGGAACAAGGAGAUGUCAUUGCUGCUGAAGGAGUCACAGUUACACUUGGAUGUAGAUUUGAAACCAGUGAUGCAAGCCCAACUUUGUUCUGGUACAAACAGAAAAAGAACGGCUCGCCAAAACUUUUAGUUCAACGAUUUUUCUUAUCAGCAGAUAAUUCUGAAGCAAAGGACAGAUUUGAUGCCAAAGUCGACAAGAAAGAAAAGUCAGUUCCUCUGAAGAUCCAGAAGCUUCAGCUGUCUGACUCUGCUGUGUACUACUGUGCUCUGCAGCCCACAGUGACAGGAAACACCAAAACUCUGUACAAAAACCUUUGGAGCAAAGACAACAGAAUACUCCACAACAUCCACUAGAGGGAG